This 440-nucleotide ribosomal RNA is filed under the name uncultured bacterium. RNAcentral describes it as "partial 16S ribosomal RNA". It matches the Rfam family "Bacterial small subunit ribosomal RNA", at positions 338 to 795 of the family's 1533-position model. The record is from RNAcentral.
CCUACGGGUGGCAGCAGUGGGGGAUAUUGCACAAUGGGGGGAACCCUGAUGCAGCGACGCCGCGUGGGUGAAGAAGCGCCUCGGCGCGUAAAGCCCUGUCAGCAGGGAAGAAAAUGACGGUACCUGAAGAAGAAGCCCCGGCUAACUACGUGCCAGCAGCCGCGGUAAUACGUAGGGGGCAAGCGUUAUCCGGAUUUACUGGGGGUAAGGGGGGCGCAGACGGCGAUGCAAGCCAGGAGUGAAAGUCCGGGGCCCAACCCCGGCACUGCUCUUGGAACUGCGUGGCUGGAGUGCAGGAGGGGCAGGCGGAAUUCCUGGUGUAGCGGUGAAAUGCGUAGAUAUGAGGAGGAACACCGGUGGCGAAGGCGGCCUGCUGGACCGCAACUGACGUUGAGGCCCGAAAGCGUGGGGAGCGAACAGGAUUAGAUACCCGGGUAGUC